This is a long non-coding RNA of Helianthus annuus (common sunflower), 262 nucleotides long. RefSeq lists it as uncharacterized. Lineage: Eukaryota; Viridiplantae; Streptophyta; Magnoliopsida; Asterales; Asteraceae. The record is from RefSeq and is a predicted model, not a curated record. The transcript has 3 exons.
UUCAGUGCAUGGGAUUUUCAGAUCACGCCAACACAAACCCUAACCUGCGAUUACACAUCUAUCCUCCAUCUUCUCUCUUCUAUCGACACCACCAGGAGACCCUAGAAGACGCCUCCAAGUCCUCAGUUCAGGCUAGUGAUCCCCGUCAUCUUUAAUACUCGGACGUGAUUGACCAACCCCGGCCAUUAGCUAUUUUUAAGAGUCCAACCGAGCAACCAAAGGUCGUUAGGUAUUUCAGGAGCUUGCACGAGGAGGCGUGGAC